Pelobates cultripes (western spadefoot toad) is the source of this 398-nucleotide non-coding RNA. The record is from the annotation of a GenBank genome assembly. NCBI's taxonomy places the organism in Eukaryota, Metazoa, Chordata, Amphibia, Anura, Pelobatidae.
GUUAAGACCACCUCCAGUGUCCAUCGAGCAGACAGCCACUAGAGGCACUUCCAGGUCCUUAGUGGACUUUUAGUCCAAUAAAUGAAGCUGGACGUCCUCAUGCUCUGCACGAGAAUAUCCAGCAUCAUCUAAAACCCCAUAGGAAAGCAUUGAGCAAUGCUUUCCUAUGGGGUAGUCCCAAUGCGAGCGUGGCACUUGGCUGGCAAAGGCCUGAUCAGGUAAGUGACAGAAAGGUUUUCAACCCUUCCAGUUCCACCAGGGAAGGUGGGUGAGUAAGGGAGGGAGGCACUAUAAGUCACUAUAUUUCUAGGAAAAUAAAUUUGUUUUCCAAGGACUAUAGUUUUCCUGUAAUAAUUUAACCAAUUUAAAUUAUUUUCACUUUGGGUGCUGUGCCAGGC